AUUUCUGGCUGCAGUUGUUCCACUGUGCAAGUGCCAAGCAGAGCCCAAGAUUAGCCCAUCAAUUUAUUUUUUACAUAGCCCACUGAAAAUCUGUUAUGGGGUAAUAACCUCCUGUACUGUGCUGGGUUUGAGACAAGCUCCUUUACUCCUCUACCUCACUGUCAAGUAGUUUUUGCACUUCAAAAUAUGGAUUUCAAUUUUCAGCUGUUGCUCCAGACCUCGCUGUUCAUGAGGCAGUACCGUUAUUCCACAUCUCCACCUCCCGUCUCGUGAUGCAGGGCCCUGUGAAAAUGUGUUCACCAAAUUAGUUGGCCUUUUUCUCCAUAAUAGGUUGUCAGCGUCUACAAUAUUACCAGCCCCGCACAGCCGAGCAUCUUGAAUGAACUCUUUCUGCAAAAUGCUUAUGGGAAUGGCUGAAAAAGAGAUAUCUGGAGGCAGCACUGUGAGAAGAUGCCUUUACUGUUUCGGAAGAACUCUGUUUCCCGACCACAGUUUGAGAGCACAGGUAGUCCUGCCAUUGGUUCUUUCGCAGAGGACACCCCUGCACCUGGGAUCAUGACAGGUCAGCCAUGAGCCAUAAAAGGUUCCUCCAGCACCAGGCCUACUCUGGGAAGAAAUGUAAGGUUUUAAUUUCCAGUCCUGCUUAUUGUAUACUUAUAAUCUUCACAAGCCACAAGUUUUGACUAUCCUCUCCUGCUCCCCUCCUGUCCAGAAAAAGAUGAACAUUAAAGUAAAGCUGAAGAAUGUAAUCAAAAUGGG
Molecule: long non-coding RNA, 759 nt
Filed under: Crocodylus porosus (Australian saltwater crocodile)
Lineage: Eukaryota; Metazoa; Chordata; Crocodylia; Crocodylidae
Description: lncRNA (ENSCPRG00005009792.1)
Source: RNAcentral